Molecule: ribosomal RNA, 793 nt
Filed under: Methanosaeta sp. enrichment culture clone A22138
Lineage: Archaea; Methanobacteriati; Methanobacteriota; Methanomicrobia; Methanotrichales; Methanotrichaceae
Description: bacterial SSU rRNA
Rfam family: Archaeal small subunit ribosomal RNA
Source: RNAcentral
ACUGCUCAGUAACACGUGGACAACCUGCCCUUAGGUUGGGUAUAAACCCGGGAAACUGGGUAUAAUACCCGAUAGGUCUCGAUUGCUGGAAUGCAUCGAGAUUUAAAGCUCCGGCGCCUAAGGAUGGGUCUGCGGCUUAUCAGGUAGUAGUGGGUGUAGCGUACCUACUAGCCUACGACGGGUACGGGUUGUGAGAGCAAGAGCCCGGAGAUGGAUUCUGAGACACGAAUCCAGGCCCUACGGGGUGCAGCAGGCGCGAAAACUUUACAAUGCUGGCAACAGCGAUAAGGGAACCUCGAGUGCCAGGUUACAAAUCUGGCUGUCGAGAUGCCUAAAAAGCAUUUCAUAGCAAGGGCCGGGCAAGACCGGUGCCAGCCGCCGCGGUAACACCGGCGGCUCGAGUGGUAACCGUUAUUAUUGGGUCUAAAGGGUCUGUAGCCGGCCGGAUAAGCCUCUUGAGAAAUCUGGCAGCUUAACUGUCAGGCUUUCAGGGGAUACUGUCUGGCUCGAGGCCGGGAGAGGUGAGAGGUACUUCAGGGGUAGGGGUGAAAUCUUGUAAUCCUUGAAGGACCACCAGUGGCGAAGGCGUCUCACCAGAACGGACCUGACGGCAAGGGACGAAAGCUAGGGGCACGAACCGGAUUAGAUACCCGGGUAGUCCUAGCCGUAAACGAUACUCGCUAGGUGUCGGCCACGGUGCGACCGUUGUCGGUGCCGUAGGGAAGCCGUGAAGCGAGCCACCUGGGAAGUACGGCCGCAAGGCUGAAACUUAAAGGAAUUGGCGGGGGAGCAC